AUGAACGCUGGCGGCGUGCCUAAUACAUGCAAGUCGAGCGAACAGAUGAGGAGCUUGCUCCUCUGACGUUAGCGGCGGACGGGUGAGUAACACGUGGAUAACCUACCUAUAAGACUGGGAUAACUUCGGGAAACCGGAGCUAAUACCGGAUAAUAUAUUGAACCGCAUGGUUCAAUAGUGAAAGACGGUUUUGCUGUCACUUAUAGAUGGAUCCGCGUCGCAUUAGCUAGUUGGUAAGGUAACGGCUUACCAAGGCAACGAUGCGUAGCCGACCUGAGAGGGUGAUCGGCCACACUGGAACUGAGACACGGUCCAGACUCCUACGGGAGGCAGCAGUAGGGAAUCUUCCGCAAUGGGCGAAAGCCUGACGGAGCAACGCCGCGUGAGUGAUGAAGGUCUUCGGAUCGUAAAACUCUGUUAUUAGGGAAGAACAAAUGUGUAAGUAACUAUGCACGUCUUGACGGUACCUAAUCAGAAAGCCACGGCUAACUACGUG
This 496-nucleotide ribosomal RNA is filed under the name uncultured bacterium. RNAcentral describes it as "partial 16S ribosomal RNA". It matches the Rfam family "Bacterial small subunit ribosomal RNA", at positions 29 to 507 of the family's 1533-position model. The record is from RNAcentral.